ACAGAGAGCUGAAAUCCUGGAGAUAGGGAAAUGUUGUUAAAUCAGUGAAUGAGGGCAAUCUCCCACGGCACACUGGUUGAAAAACACUGCUGUAGAGUACAAACGAUGCAUUUUAUCUUCUACCUUGCUCUGAUGUUUGUAGGCUUUAGUUCAGACCCAGCAAUUCUGACCAACAAACAAACAAACGAUUGAAUCAGGGGGUCAGCUGACUGACCUCAUAGCUCUGGAGAAGCCCCUUUAGUGAUGAAGCCCCUUUAGUGAUCACACUAGAUCUGUACCACACUAGAAUUCUCUGAACUGCAGUCUGGCUCCCCUCUGCAAGCUGGCCUUGUCCCCAUUCACUUAUUCCUGCCAGGUCCCACCAGUGAAAACAGCCGUUUUUUCAAGAUAAACAGACUCGAGCGUGUCCGAGUCCUCUCAGUCUUCCAACAGCCAAAGCUGCAGAGCGGUUCCUGCAGGAAGUAGGAGCAGCAGCUCGGCUUCCAUCAGCCGCUCAGAGCACAUAAUCAGACUGAAACUGAUGACGUGUCUGCAGGAGCAGGGCUGACACGCUGGAAAAUGACUUUUCUCCUCCGUCAACUUCACUAACAUGAGGCCACAAAAACAGUGUCAGCUCUGAUCAACACUGAAACUGGCCACAUCCUGCUAAUGCUGCCCUCUAGUGUCCAUUUGAAGGACUUGAUCUUUCAUCUGUUUGCUAUGUAAAGACUGAAGCAGAAGCAGCUCGGUAAAGUCCAGAGGGAUCAGGGGCUUUUUUUUCUGUAGCAAAGCAAUAACCUUCCUUAUUUAUUGUCAUUUUAUCAAGAUUAUUUAAUCAAGCUGAGGUUUCCACCAGGAGUUUUGUGGAGGAUUUGUCCUUCUGCUGCUGGAUCCAGACGCUCAUGGAGGAAAACUCCCAACACCGCCUGUAGAGCCUCGGUUGUUUUUGCACUUUGCCUUUAGUGUCACUGAAACCUUUUUUAUUUUUUUUUAUACCACUCAAAAGUAAUGUUUUCCAUAUGGGACGUAUAUCAUUGUGACAUUGUACAUUUUAAAGGGAUGUGUCACUGAAAUGCAUUGAUGUCUUUAGUCUGAGUCUCAGACCUGCAGAAGGUUGUGACUGUAAGUUUUAGUGUAAAUCUUUUUUAUUAUGUGUCUAAGUUCCUCCACAGACGAUCACUGCAGGCAUGUGUGGAGGAAAACCUUCAUCCUCAGAGUGAUCCAACAGUCCGUGUGCCAGGGUCCCUUUGAGCAGACUUUCUCACGCUACCCAACACUGUUAUCCUCUUGUGCUCAUCAGCAGUCCAUUAACAGCUCUUGUACUUUGUUGUUGUUGUGUGAAGUAGGUGUGAGCUGUUGAUGAUUGUUCUGCAGCAGAGUUCUGUCAGUUUGGUGACAUGUUGAAUGCUGUUCUGUUGGUUUUACACCACCUCACUUCAGCCUCAUUUGACCUCCAUCAUCCCUGAAAGGGGUUAGGGUUUGACGUUUUUGAAGGUUUUAGUUGUUUCGGAUGGUUAGGACCAUCACCUCACAGCAAUAAGGUUCCCGAUUCUAAUUCCAGCUGCUUUUCUUGACUGGAGUUUGCAUGUUUUCUUCCUGUGAACAGCUGGGUUUUUCACAGAUGGUUUCUUCCCACAGUCCAAAAACGUGUUUCAUUGGUCCACAGGCGAUUCUAAAGACCGUGUCACACACCCACUACCUACAUUUUGCACAUUUUCCACAGAUGAAACUGGUCUUUUGUGAUAGAUGCUUGAUCACAUGUGUUUCUUUUGUUUGUCAUUCAUCGAUGUGCACAGAUUUGUUUCAAAGGUUUCGACUGACGGGUUUUUACCUGAAUUAGGUUUUGAGCUGUUCAAAAUUUUGGGUCGGUUGAGAAUUACGCAGUUGUAUUUUAUGUAGUUUAAACAAUAUUAUUACAUAAAUCUUAUGCAGUUUUUGUAAUUGUUGCAAGAUGUAAACGCAAAUUUGUGGCUUUCCACAACCGUUCCACAUAUGUGAACUUUUUACACAUGCACCACUGAUGUAUAACUUUUAUAUUGUUUAAAUGGUGCACACAUGACAGUAAAAUUAUGUAAUUUACGCACAAAUUACUAUUAACUUGCAUAUAAACAGCGCAGUCAUCACGCAUGGUUCAUGUUCUACGUAGAUGAACGUGUUCUUUGCGCAGUUUAUUCGUUCUUCGUCCGUGGUUUUAACUUGGUUUAUUUGUGAUACAUCUGUGAACAUUUUACGCAAAGACCACAACUUUUCUCAUGUAUGUUCACGUAUGACCAAUUUAGUAGCUGAGUAACACGGGCUUAGAGCUACGUACACAUCACCAUCUGAAAUGGGUCUGCAAGUGGGCUUUUCCGAUAAAAAGUCUUUGUAAAUGCCCGUUUCGGGCUUCCGCAUUACAAACUCUCACGUGUACCUACAUACGUUUUUACGACUUUUUUCGGGCUCUACGUACAAAACGCUUGGCCAUUGAAUGUGCGUUGCUAAACCAGGUUUGACUUGGACCAAUCAUGACCUUGGAUUUGGGCCUGUGAGUGACAUAAAUACCUCUAGAACUGGAGAAGGCGGUGAAACUCACCAAAUGCUGAGCGUUGUUGGUUUGUCUGCUGAACCCAGACACAGCGAUGAACCUGAUGAUGGCUGCGUUUGUUAAAAAUAAACCAGGACCACUCUCCUGACAUGAUGGUAAUCCAUAUCUGCCAUUACUAGGACACUAGCAAGGAAAUGAACCGUUUGGUUUUCAGGCCAAAAUUGGGAGAUUUGUACCACUAAGACGUUUGACACCAAGCCUCUUUCAACUGUAGGUGGACAUGCGCUAGUAUACAAAAGAAAAAGAAGAAGCCCCUCCCUGCUUGUCCAGUGUGAAAACCAUGGGCUAAACGUGCAUUCAAGAACACACCAAACGCAUGUUUUUGAAUGCACAUCAAAUACUCAAAACUGCCUCAAGAGGGGUGACUGUGUGGUCUGAGUUGAACUACGUUGAGUUGAACUAUGUUCAGGAUAUGUCCUGCCUCCACCCUCCUUCCUAACCUUAUAAAGAGGGUAACAAUAAUGGAUGGAUGUUCCACAUUCAAGAUAAGUUCAAUGGUGGAAAGGACGUUACUGAACUCUUUAAAAAAAAUGAACAAACAAGUGUGAAAGGAUCAUGAGAAUUGCCGGGUCAGCUGUCAGUCAAAAGGCCUGUUUGUGCUCCUGUUUGUAUCAACGUGAGGUUUAGAAAAAGUCAGUCCCGGUGAAGUUAUUAUUAAUCAAAUGUGCUUCAGUGUGAAAGUCAGGCAUUCCUCCCCUGGAUUUACCCUCUAAGAUACUAGCAGGAGUCAGUUGCAGUUCAUCAGCUGGCCACUAGAGGUGUGGUGUUUCAAUAAAAGGAGGGGGUUGGUUUUUAUUUACUGAAAAUGAAUUGAAGUUCUUUCGUUUUUUAAAGAAUGUUACUCUCACUCAUUUUUGGAAAGAUGGAUAAACAUGGAGCAGAAAAAAACCUGGCAAUGAUGAAAGGAAGACGUCACAUGACCAGAUCCAACAUCCUCAGUUAUCAAGUCAUUUUCACAACCAAUUUUCUUUAAAAAUAAAGAAGUUUUACCCUUAAAAAAUGAACCAAUAGUAAACCUUGAACACUGAUUACAUGACUCAUUCUCUACAUUAGAGAUUUCUGAUGUUAGUUCUAUGUAGCUUUUAUUCUUUCCGCUGACCUUCAUCCUCCUGUGCUUUUGUUUCACUGCUUGGUUUACCCGUCUCUCCUAUUUAUCAUUUUCUAUCAAAUAUUUCCCCAUUUGAGCACUGUGAACAUUUUAAAGGGACAUGAGUGUCAGUGUGUGUCUUCUUUCUGUAUUGACUUAGAUUUUUAUUUAAAUCUGUUGAAAAUGGAUCUUUAUGGAACGUUUUUGUACUUUUUCUUCAUUGACUGCAGCAGAUUAAAUCGCUGUUGUGUUGUUCAGCUGUUCAACCUUUUUACUGAACAUGUUGAUGCAGAAGCAGCGGUGCAGUUCACCGUUUGAUCGUUUUGAGUGAUUCAACCUGCUGCCAAAGCAGAUAUUGAGUGAAAAGAAGCCUUUGUGUGAAAGGAAAAGACCAGAUACUGUUCAAAAUGUCAAUGUUCAACAUGAAGUUUUUUAUUAAAAUGUGUUGAAGACAG
Oryzias latipes (Japanese medaka) is the source of this 4105-nucleotide long non-coding RNA. RefSeq lists it as uncharacterized. Lineage: Eukaryota; Metazoa; Chordata; Actinopteri; Beloniformes; Adrianichthyidae. The record is from RefSeq and is a predicted model, not a curated record.